GGGUUGUGAGGUUAAGCGACUAAGCGUACACGGUGGAUGCCCUGGCAGUCAGAGGCGAUGAAGGACGUGCUAAUCUGCGAAAAGCGUCGGUAAGGUGAUAUGAACCGUUAUAACCGGCGAUGUCCGAAUGGGG
Molecule: ribosomal RNA, 133 nt
Filed under: Klebsiella pneumoniae
Lineage: Bacteria; Pseudomonadati; Pseudomonadota; Gammaproteobacteria; Enterobacterales; Enterobacteriaceae
Also listed under: 1 other name
Description: partial 23S ribosomal RNA
Rfam family: Bacterial large subunit ribosomal RNA
Source: RNAcentral